UUUACUACAAAUCUGUAGCUUCGAUGCUAAUUGCUAUUUUUUGGAAAAGUUUAACAUAAAAACGAAAUAAGAGGCAGAGCCAUAAAACCUUCCUCGCAUCUUUUCUGGCCCUUGGUGAACGUGAUUAAUUAUUAUUACAACUAAGUGCAACAACUUUAUAUGGCGCUUACCCUUGCAAAAUCUUAUGAAAAAUCAAGAUUAUUACAUUCUGUCGCCGACAUUUAAUGAUCUUUGUGUGGGAUAUAAAUGGCAGU
This is a long non-coding RNA of Copidosoma floridanum, 254 nucleotides long. The record is from RefSeq and is a predicted model, not a curated record. NCBI's taxonomy places the organism in Eukaryota, Metazoa, Arthropoda, Insecta, Hymenoptera, Encyrtidae.